This 465-nucleotide ribosomal RNA is filed under the name Vreelandella stevensii. RNAcentral's name for it is "partial 16S ribosomal RNA". It matches the Rfam family "Bacterial small subunit ribosomal RNA", at positions 338 to 795 of the family's 1533-position model. The record is from RNAcentral. Lineage: Bacteria; Pseudomonadati; Pseudomonadota; Gammaproteobacteria; Oceanospirillales; Halomonadaceae.
CCUACGGGGCGCAGCAGUGGAGAAUAUUGGACAAUGGGCGAAAGCCUGAUCCAGCCAUGCCGCGUGUGUGAAGAAGGCCUUCGGGUUGUAAAGCACUUUCAGUGGGGAAGAAAGCCUUGGGGCUAAUACCCUCGAGGAAGGACAUCACCCACAGAAGAAGCACCGGCUAACUCCGUGCCAGCAGCCGCGGUAAUACGGAGGGUGCGAGCGUUAAUCGGAAUUACUGGGCGUAAAGCGCGCGUAGGCGGUCUGAUAAGCCGGUUGUGAAAGCCCCGGGCUCAACCUGGGAACGGCAUCCGGAACUGUCAGGCUAGAGUGCAGGAGAGGAAGGUAGAAUUCCCGGUGUAGCGGUGAAAUGCGUAGAGAUCGGGAGGAAUACCAGUGGCGAAGGCGGCCUUCUGGACUGACACUGACGCUGAGGUGCGAAAGCGUGGGUAGCAAACAGGAUUAGAUACCCCAGUAGUC